Molecule: transfer RNA, 69 nt
Filed under: Uromastyx dispar dispar
Lineage: Eukaryota; Metazoa; Chordata; Lepidosauria; Squamata; Agamidae
Rfam family: tRNA
About the family: Transfer RNA (tRNA) molecules are approximately 80 nucleotides in length. Their secondary structure includes four short double-helical elements and three loops (D, anti-codon, and T loops).
Source: RNAcentral
GGUAAGGUGGCAAUAGUAAGCGGUGGAUUGUAAUUCUGCUUAUGGAGGUUGUAAGUCCUCUCCUUUCCA